RNAcentral lists this ribosomal RNA (496 nucleotides) under uncultured bacterium. RNAcentral describes it as "partial 16S ribosomal RNA". It matches the Rfam family "Bacterial small subunit ribosomal RNA", at positions 28 to 506 of the family's 1533-position model. The record is from RNAcentral.
GAUGAACGCUGGCGGCGUGCCUAAUACAUGCAAGUCGAGCGAACGGACGAGAAGCUUGCUUUUCUGAUGUUAGCGGCGGACGGGUGAGUAACACGUGGAUAACCUACCUAUAAGACUGGGAUAACUACGGGAAACCGGAGCCACUAACGGAUAAUAUUUUGAACCGCAUGGUUCAAAAGUGAUAGACGGUCUUGCUGUCACUUAUAGAUGGAUCCGCGCUGCAUUAGCUAGUUGGUAAGGUAACGCCUUACCAAGGCAACGAUGCAUAGCCGACCUGAGAGAGGGAUCGCCCACACUGGAACUGAGAAACGGUCCAGACUCCAACGGGAGGCAGCAGUGGGAAUUCUGCCGAAAGGGGCGAAAGCCUGACGGGGCAACGCCGCGUGGGUGAUGAAGGUCUUCGGAUCGUAAACCCCUGUUAUUAGGGAAGAACAUAUGUGUAAGUAACUGUGCACAUCUGGACGGUACCUAAUCAGAAAGCCACGGCUAACUACUG